RNAcentral lists this ribosomal RNA (1487 nucleotides) under Salmonella enterica subsp. enterica serovar Stanley. Its description in RNAcentral is "partial 23S ribosomal RNA". It matches the Rfam family "Bacterial large subunit ribosomal RNA", at positions 681 to 2149 of the family's 2925-position model. The record is from RNAcentral. Lineage: Bacteria; Pseudomonadati; Pseudomonadota; Gammaproteobacteria; Enterobacterales; Enterobacteriaceae.
GUCUUAAUUGGGCGUUAAGUUGCAGGGUAUAGACCCGAAACCCGGUGAUCUAGCCAUGGGCAGGUUGAAGGUUGGGUAACACUAACUGGAGGACCGAACCGACUAAUGUUGAAAAAUUAGCGGAUGACCUGUGGCUGGGGGUGAAAGGCCAAUCAAACCGGGAGAUAGCUGGUUCUCCCCGAAAGCUAUUUAGGUAGCGCCUCGUGAAUUCAUCUCCGGGGGUAGAGCACUGUUUCGGCUAGGGGGCCAUCCCGGCUUACCAACCCGAUGCAAACUGCGAAUACCGGAGAAUGUUAUCACGGGAGACACACGGCGGGUGCUAACGUCCGUCGUGAAGAGGGAAACAACCCAGACCGCCAGCUAAGGUCCCAAAGUCAUGGUUAAGUGGGAAACGAUGUGGGAAGGCCCAGACAGCCAGGAUGUUGGCUUAGAAGCAGCCAUCAUUUAAAGAAAGCGUAAUAGCUCACUGGUCGAGUCGGCCUGCGCGGAAGAUGUAACGGGGCUAAACCAUGCACCGAAGCUGCGGCAGCGACACUGUGUGUUGUUGGGUAGGGGAGCGUUCUGUAAGCCUGUGAAGGUGUGUCGUGAGGCAUGCUGGAGGUAUCAGAAGUGCGAAUGCUGACAUAAGUAACGAUAAAGCGGGUGAAAAGCCCGCUCGCCGGAAGACCAAGGGUUCCUGUCCAACGUUAAUCGGGGCAGGGUGAGUCGACCCCUAAGGCGAGGCCGAAAGGCGUAGUCGAUGGGAAACGGGUUAAUAUUCCCGUACUUGGUGUUACUGCGAAGGGGGGACGGAGAAGGCUAUGUUGGCCGGGCGACGGUUGUCCCGGUUUAAGCGUGUAGGUGUGUGUUCCAGGUAAAUCCGGUUCACUUUAACACUGAGGCGUGACGACGAGGCACUACGGUGCUGAAGCAACAAAUGCCCUGCUUCCAGGAAAAGCCUCUAAGCAUCAGGUAACAUCAAAUCGUACCCCAAACCGACACAGGUGGUCAGGUAGAGAAUACCAAGGCGCUUGAGAGAACUCGGGUGAAGGAACUAGGCAAAAUGGUGCCGUAACUUCGGGAGAAGGCACGCUGACACGUAGGUGAAGUGAUUUACUCAUGGAGCUGAAGUCAGUCGAAGAUACCAGCUGGCUGCAACUGUUUAUUAAAAACACAGCACUGUGCAAACACGAAAGUGGACGUAUACGGUGUGACGCCUGCCCGGUGCCGGAAGGUUAAUUGAUGGGGUCAGCGCAAGCGAAGCUCCUGAUCGAAGCCCCGGUAAACGGCGGCCGUAACUAUAACGGUCCUAAGGUAGCGAAAUUCCUUGUCGGGUAAGUUCCGACCUGCACGAAUGGCGUAAUGAUGGCCAGGCUGUCUCCACCCGAGACUCAGUGAAAUUGAACUCGCUGUGAAGAUGCAGUGUACCCGCGGCAAGACGGAAAGACCCCGUGAACCUUUACUAUAGCUUGACACUGAACAUUGAGCCUUGAUGUGUAGGAUAGGUG